UUUCCGUAGGUGAACCUGCGGAAGGAUCAUUACAGAGUGAGGGCCCUCUGAGUCCAACCUCCCCCCCAUGUUUAUGGUACCUUGUUGCUUCGGUGUGCCCGCCGCACGGCCGCCCGGGGGCUUCUGCCCCCGGGUCCGCGCGCCCCGGAGUCACCAUUGAACUCUGUCUGAAGACUGCAGGCUGAGCAUAAACUAAAUAAGUUAAAACUUUCAACAACGGAUCUCUUGGUUCCG
This 234-nucleotide unclassified non-coding RNA is filed under the name plant metagenome. Its description in RNAcentral is "partial contains small subunit ribosomal RNA, internal transcribed spacer 1, and 5.8S ribosomal RNA". The record is from RNAcentral.